CUCUCCCUCUUUAUUUCAAAUUAAGCACAUCUAAAUUUAGAUUAUCAAAUUUGAAUAUCUAUUCUUUAAUUAAUUAUUCUUUAAUAUUUUCUCCCCUUUUUUCUUUCAAAAUUUAGCAUAUUUAAGCUUUUCAUUUUUUUCUCCCUUAGUUUUACAAGUCAAGAUAUUUUCAACAAGAUAGCCUUUUAAGAGCAUAUUUUUUUUAAAUAUUUUCUCUCCCUUUCGCAAAAGUACAAUGUGGGUUUAACUUAGAAAUUCAAAUCAAGACUUCUUCUUUUUCUCAAAAACAUAGAUGUAAACAUACUUCUCAAUUUAAAAUUUUGAAUAAUAUAGUCUUGAAAAUACUUCUCUUCUUUUUUGAUAUUAAAAUAGAUUAUUCAAAAAUAUAUCAUAAAAAAUUAUCCCAAACAAUAGUAAGAAUAUAACCAUGGAAAUUCAGAUUUGAGAUAUGGCAUUUUUUUUUGCCAAAAGAUAGUGCGAUGAAAUUCAUGGCAAAAAUUAGACUACUUGAAACCAAUUAUGAGAAGUAUGAAACUAAUUGUGAUAAAAUUCUUAAAAAAAAAUUAUGUUGAUACCAUCUCUUCUUUUGGAUAACUACUUCCCUUUUUGAAAUUUGAUAGCAAAUUGAGAUUGAAUUUCUUCUUACUUUUGAUUAAUAUAUAUGAAAAUGAAACAUAGCUUCCCCUUUUUGAAUAAAGUUGAUACAUUAAUUAAUUUUUUUCAUAAUAAGUAACACUCAGUUAAAUUCAGAAAUGAUAUUAUAAAUGUAUCAGAGCAAAUCUAUGAUCCUAACAUAUGGUAUUCGAGCAAAAUUAGAACAACACAUAGUAUCAAUAUGAAAUAUGUUUGAGAAGAAGAUUGUUUGAUAUCAACUGUAAAAAUAAACUUCUUUAUACCAAUUUUGAUACCAAUUACUUUAAAAAAUUCAAACAACAAAUUUCUCAAAUAUUAUUCUUGAUACUAAAGAAAAUCUAUCAAAAUAUUUUUUUUUUGAG
Molecule: long non-coding RNA, 995 nt
Filed under: Elaeis guineensis (African oil palm)
Lineage: Eukaryota; Viridiplantae; Streptophyta; Magnoliopsida; Arecales; Arecaceae
Description: long non-coding RNA (EGUI_LNC028051)
Source: RNAcentral